CCUACGGGAGGCAGCAGUGNGGAAUACUGCGCAAUGGANGAAACUCUGACGCAGCCAUGCCGCGUGCAGGAAGACGGCCCUACGGGUUGUAAACUGCUUUUAUAUAGGAAGAAACCCCGAUACGUGUAUCGGCUUGACGGUACUAUAUGAAUAAGGACCGGCUAACUCCGUGCCAGCAGCCGCGGUAAUACGGAGGGUCCAAGCGUUAUCCGGAUUUAUUAGGUUUAAAGGGUCCGCAGGCGGGAUUUUAAGUCAGUGGUGAAAGCCUACAGCUCAACUGUAGAACUGCCAUUGAUACUGAUAUCCUUGAGUGUGGUUGAAGUGGGCGGAACAUGUCAUGUAGCGGUGAAAUGCAUAGAUAUGACAUAGAACACCAAUUGCGAAGGCAGCUCACUAAGCCAUUACUGACGCUGAGGGACGAAAGCGUGGGGAGCGAACAGGAUUAGAUACCCUGGUAGUCCACGCCGUAAACGAUGAUCACUCGUUGCUAGAGAUACACUGUUAGUGACCAAGCGAAAGUGUUAAGUGAUCCACCUGGGAAGUACGUUCGCAAGAAUGAAACUCAAAMGAAUUGACGG
This 578-nucleotide ribosomal RNA is filed under the name uncultured Bacteroidota bacterium. RNAcentral describes it as "bacterial SSU rRNA". It matches the Rfam family "Bacterial small subunit ribosomal RNA", at positions 338 to 916 of the family's 1533-position model. The record is from RNAcentral. Lineage: Bacteria; Pseudomonadati; Bacteroidota.